Cinara cedri is the source of this 342-nucleotide non-coding RNA. The record is from the annotation of a GenBank genome assembly. Lineage: Eukaryota; Metazoa; Arthropoda; Insecta; Hemiptera; Aphididae.
CGGCGUUGUAGUUUACACGAUAUCGAUUCGGACGGUCGACGUAUCUCUACUAUUGCAAUGCACUUUUCUCCGGUAUACUAUCGGGUGAUCGAGUGUUUGUUAAGGAGACAGUUAAGAGGUCGUGGUGCCGCCCGUUUCGGCCGUAGUUCGACAGCGAUAACUGUUUUGCGCGGAGAAAAACUACUCCGCCGGCUAUAGGAUUGAUUAAGAGAUUAAAUUUUCACCAUAGAAAACGGUCUUGUGGGACGUUGCUUUUAUUUUUUUUUUUUUGACAUAACAUGCACAAACAGGACGCAUUGCCAAUUCGACAAUUUGACGAUUUCAAGUUUUGCAAACCCGAAU